RNAcentral lists this non-coding RNA (89 nucleotides) under pig gut metagenome. RNAcentral describes it as "TPP riboswitch (THI element)". It matches the Rfam family "TPP riboswitch aptamer (THI element)". Rfam says of the family: Vitamin B(1) in its active form thiamin pyrophosphate (TPP) is an essential coenzyme that is synthesised by coupling of pyrimidine and thiazole moieties in bacteria. The previously detected thiamin-regulatory element, thi box was extended, resulting in a new, highly conserved RNA secondary structure, the THI element, which is widely distributed in eubacteria and also occurs in some archaea. The record is from RNAcentral.
CCGCUAGGGGUGCUGCGCCGAAUAGGCGCGGCUGAGAUUAACCUUUGAACCUGACCUGGAUAAUGCCGGCGUAGGGAAGCGGUUGUAUA